Macaca mulatta (Rhesus monkey) is the source of this 259-nucleotide long non-coding RNA. RefSeq lists it as uncharacterized. NCBI's taxonomy places the organism in Eukaryota, Metazoa, Chordata, Mammalia, Primates, Cercopithecidae. The record is from RefSeq and is a predicted model, not a curated record.
GGGUUUAAAGUUUAAUUGUAGACCUGCUGAAUGAGGGGAUCGGAAGAAAUCUCAAAUCCAUCUCCCUGAAGAGUUUGGGACUAGAGAAUUCUUAUUAGCGCUGUGAGGAUGACUUCAGCAUGACUUUAUUGGGAAAGGACAAGUGGAAGCACCACCAAGCACCACACUUGGUCUCUCCUGAACCCUGCUCUAGGCAACUCUUCCCUUUGUUGAUUUUAACGUGUAUCCUUUCAUUGUAAUAAACUGUUGGUGAACAUAA